GACGGAGGAUGCAAGUGUUAUCCGGAAUCACUGGGCGUAAAGCGUCUGUAGGUGGUCAAAUAAGUCAACUGUUAAAUCUUGAGGCUCAACCUCAAAAUCGCAGUCGAAACUAUUCGACUAGAGUAUAGUAGGGGUAAAGGGAAUUUCCAGUGGAGCGGUGAAAUGCGUAGAGAUUGGAAAGAACACCAACGGCGAAAGCACUCUGCUGGGCCGACACUGACACUGAGAGACGAAAGCUAGGGGAGCGAAUGGG
Molecule: ribosomal RNA, 253 nt
Filed under: uncultured bacterium
Lineage: Bacteria
Description: partial 16S ribosomal RNA
Rfam family: Bacterial small subunit ribosomal RNA
Source: RNAcentral